This 263-nucleotide long non-coding RNA is filed under the name Brassica napus (rape). RNAcentral's name for it is "long non-coding RNA (BNAP_LNC002412)". Lineage: Eukaryota; Viridiplantae; Streptophyta; Magnoliopsida; Brassicales; Brassicaceae. The record is from RNAcentral.
GUGAUGUUUUAACGUACAGAAUAUUCAGCUUUACUAUGAUAUUUGUUUCUAAAAUUCUAGUUUAACUUUUAAACAAAUUCUAAUCUAAUUUUAAUCUGGUGUAGUUAGUUUCAUAUUAUUUGUAUGGAUAUUUUAAUUUUAAUUUUGUUUAUUUAUUUAUUUGGGUUUAUUACUGAAGUUUGUGAAUUAUGAAAACUCACAAAUAACUUAUAAAAUUUACAAACUAACAAAAUUCAAAACUGAAAAGUAUGGUUUAAGACCAG